UGUAAACUGACAUUUCCUCUUCAUUUCCAGUUAUUACAUGUGGAUUCGUGCAGAGCAGGUGACAGUCGGAAAUCCAAACUUAGAUUGACUGGUAUUUAGAACCCGGAAAGGAAAGGAAAGGAAAGGUGAAUAUACUCCUACAGCAAACUUGAUUCAGUAUAUGUGAUGUUACCUAGGUGGUGUGGUUUUUAAAGAAUUUCUAACCGACGAUGGUGAUAAAAAGUAGAACACUUUCACGGAAGGGGGGCAACCUUAGUUCAGUCUGCGUCAGAUCAUUGUUGAGAUUACAUCCAAGGAGUGUGAACAGUGGAGCAGAGCUCUGUGCUCAGAACACAGGACACAUGCAGACAAGAAAACCGUGAGUUCAUUUUGUGGCCUCUGUGCGGGAGAGGAAGAAGCUUCUAGGUACAGUUGAACAGCAUCUUGAAAUUUUCUUCCUGUCAAGAGAUUUCUGUUAGCUAGGUGUACUCAUGUAUUGUACAAUACAAUGAAGAUCAUAAAAUAGAAGGAUUGCUUACUGAAAGGACCCGGAAUGAUUAGACUUUUUUCUAUCCUUCUUU
Molecule: long non-coding RNA, 560 nt
Filed under: Bos taurus (domestic cattle)
Lineage: Eukaryota; Metazoa; Chordata; Mammalia; Artiodactyla; Bovidae
Description: long non-coding RNA NONBTAT006077
Source: RNAcentral